Molecule: ribosomal RNA, 1477 nt
Filed under: Lactiplantibacillus plantarum
Lineage: Bacteria; Bacillati; Bacillota; Bacilli; Lactobacillales; Lactobacillaceae
Description: bacterial SSU rRNA
Rfam family: Bacterial small subunit ribosomal RNA
Source: RNAcentral
GCUGGCGGCGUGCCUAAUACAUGCAAGUCGAACGAACUCUGGUAUUGAUUGGUGCUUGCAUCAUGAUUUACAUUUGAGUGAGUGGCGAACUGGUGAGUAACACGUGGGAAACCUGCCCAGAAGCGGGGGAUAACACCUGGAAACAGAUGCUAAUACCGCAUAACAACUUGGACCGCAUGGUCCGAGCUUGAAAGAUGGCUUCGGCUAUCACUUUUGGAUGGUCCCGCGGCGUAUUAGCUAGAUGGUGGGGUAACGGCUCACCAUGGCAAUGAUACGUAGCCGACCUGAGAGGGUAAUCGGCCACAUUGGGACUGAGACACGGCCCAAACUCCUACGGGAGGCAGCAGUAGGGAAUCUUCCACAAUGGACGAAAGUCUGAUGGAGCAACGCCGCGUGAGUGAAGAAGGGUUUCGGCUCGUAAAACUCUGUUGUUAAAGAAGAACAUAUCUGAGAGUAACUGUUCAGGUAUUGACGGUAUUUAACCAGAAAGCCACGGCUAACUACGUGCCAGCAGCCGCGGUAAUACGUAGGUGGCAAGCGUUGUCCGGAUUUAUUGGGCGUAAAGCGAGCGCAGGCGGUUUUUUAAGUCUGAUGUGAAAGCCUUCGGCUCAACCGAAGAAGUGCAUCGGAAACUGGGAAACUUGAGUGCAGAAGAGGACAGUGGAACUCCAUGUGUAGCGGUGAAAUGCGUAGAUAUAUGGAAGAACACCAGUGGCGAAGGCGGCUGUCUGGUCUGUAACUGACGCUGAGGCUCGAAAGUAUGGGUAGCAAACAGGAUUAGAUACCCUGGUAGUCCAUACCGUAAACGAUGAAUGCUAAGUGUUGGAGGGUUUCCGCCCUUCAGUGCUGCAGCUAACGCAUUAAGCAUUCCGCCUGGGGAGUACGGCCGCAAGGCUGAAACUCAAAGGAAUUGACGGGGGCCCGCACAAGCGGUGGAGCAUGUGGUUUAAUUCGAAGCUACGCGAAGAACCUUACCAGGUCUUGACAUACUAUGCAAAUCUAAGAGAUUAGACGUUCCCUUCGGGGACAUGGAUACAGGUGGUGCAUGGUUGUCGUCAGCUCGUGUCGUGAGAUGUUGGGUUAAGUCCCGCAACGAGCGCAACCCUUAUUAUCAGUUGCCAGCAUUAAGUUGGGCACUCUGGUGAGACUGCCGGUGACAAACCGGAGGAAGGUGGGGAUGACGUCAAAUCAUCAUGCCCCUUAUGACCUGGGCUACACACGUGCUACAAUGGAUGGUACAACGAGUUGCGAACUCGCGAGAGUAAGCUAAUCUCUUAAAGCCAUUCUCAGUUCGGAUUGUAGGCUGCAACUCGCCUACAUGAAGUCGGAAUCGCUAGUAAUCGCGGAUCAGCAUGCCGCGGUGAAUACGUUCCCGGGCCUUGUACACACCGCCCGUCACACCAUGAGAGUUUGUAACACCCAAAGUCGGUGGGGUAACCUUUUAGGAACCAGCCGCCUAAGGUGGGACAGAUGAUUA